AGAGUUUGAUCCUGGCUCAGAUUGAACGCUGGCGGUAUGCUUAACACAUGCAAGUCGAACGGAAACGAUACUAGCUUGCUAGUAGGCGUCGAGUGGCGGACGGGGGAGUAACGCGUAGGAAUCUGCCCAGUAGUGGGGGAUAAGCUUUAGAAAUUCGGAUUAAUACCGCAUAAUCUAUUCGUAGUAAAGUGGGGGACUUUCGAGCCUCACGCUAUCAGAUGAGCCUGCGUAAGAUUAGCUAGUUGGUAGGGUAAAAGCCUACCAAGGCUACGAUCCAUAGCUGGUCUGAGAGGAUGAUCAGCCACACUGGGACUGAGACACGGCCCAGACUCCUACGGGAGGCAGCAGUGGGGAAUAUUGGACAAUGGGCGCAAGCCUGAUCCAGCAAUACCGCGUGUGUGAAAAAGGCCUCCGGGUUGUAAAGCACUUUCAAUUGUGAAGAGGGGAUAGUUAAUUAAUACUUGUUAUCCUGACGUUAACUUUAGAAGAAGCACCGGCUCAAGCAGUGCCAGCAGCCGCGGUAAUACUGAAGGUGCAAGCGUUAAUCGGAAUUACUGGGCGUAAAGCGCGCGUAGGCGGUUUGGUCAGUCAGAUGUGAAAGCCCCGGGCUCAACCUGGGAACUGCAUUUGAAACUGCCAAACUAGAGUAUGUUAGAGGGAAGUGGAAUUUCUGGUGUAGCGGUGAAAUGCGUAGAUAUCAGAAGGAACACCAAUGGCGAAGGCAACUUCCUGGGACAAUACUGACGCUGAGGUGCGAAAGCGUGGGGAGCAAACGGGAUUAGAUACCCCGGUAGUCCACGCCGUAAACGAUGAGAACUAGUUGUCGGGAGGGUUUACCUUUCGGUGACGCAGCUAACGCAUUAAGUUCUCCGCCUGGGGAGUACGCCGGCAACGGUAAAACUCAAAGGAAUUGACGGGGGCCCGCACAAGCGGUGGAGCAUGUGGUUUAAUUCGACGCAACGCGAAGAACCUUACCAGGCCUUAAAUGUAGAGUGACAGAUUGGGAAACCAGUCUUUCUUCGGACACUUUACAAGGUGCUGCAUGGUUGUCGUCAGCUCGUGCCGUGAGGUGUCGGGUUAAGUCCCAUAACGAGCGCAACCCCUAUUUUUAGUUGCCAGCGAGUAAUGUCGGGAACUCUAGAAAGACUGCCUGUGUAAACAGUGAGGAAGGUGGGGAUGACGUCAAAUCAUCACGGCCCUUAUGUCUUGGGCUACACACGUGCUACAAUGGUUACUACAGUGGGCUGCCAUCUGGCAACAGAGAGCAAAUCCAUAAAGGUAAUCCCAGUUCGGAUCGGAGUCUGCAACUCGACUCUGUGAAGUUGGAAUCGCUAGUAAUCGUAUAUCAGCAAUGAUACGGUGAAUACGUUCCCGGGCCUUGUACACACCGCCCGUCAAGCCAUGGAAGUUUGUGGUGCCUGAAGUCAGUAACCGUAAGGAUCUGCCUAGGGUAAAACAGAUAACUAGGGCUAAGUCGUAACAAGGUAACC
RNAcentral lists this ribosomal RNA (1490 nucleotides) under uncultured prokaryote. RNAcentral describes it as "partial 16S ribosomal RNA". It matches the Rfam family "Bacterial small subunit ribosomal RNA". The record is from RNAcentral.